UACGUAGGCAGCAAGCGUUGUUCGGAAUUACUGGGCGUAAAGAGUGUGUAGGCGGUGCUCUAAGUCUGUUGUGAAAUCUCCCGGCUUAACUGGGAGGGUGCGGCGGAGACUGGAGUGCUAGAGUGUGGGAGAGGUAAGCGGAAUUCCUGGUGUAGCGGUGAAAUGCGUAGAUAUCAAGAGGAACACCUGAGGUGAAGACGGGUUGCUGGGCUGACACUGACGCUGAUGCGCGAAAGCCAGGGGAGCAAACGGG
Molecule: ribosomal RNA, 253 nt
Filed under: uncultured bacterium
Lineage: Bacteria
Description: partial 16S ribosomal RNA
Rfam family: Bacterial small subunit ribosomal RNA
Source: RNAcentral